Molecule: ribosomal RNA, 413 nt
Filed under: Psychrobacter sp.
Lineage: Bacteria; Pseudomonadati; Pseudomonadota; Gammaproteobacteria; Moraxellales; Moraxellaceae
Description: bacterial SSU rRNA
Rfam family: Bacterial small subunit ribosomal RNA
Source: RNAcentral
CAACCCUGAUCAGCCAUGCCGCGUGUGUGAAGAAGGCCUUUUGGUUGUAAAGCACUUUAAGCAGUGAAGAAGACUCUAUGGUUAAUACCCAUAGACGAUGACAUUAGCUGCAGAAUAAGCACCGGCUAACUCUGUGCCAGCAGCCGCGGUAAUACAGAGGGUGCAAGCGUUAAUCGGAAUUACUGGGCGUAAAGCGAGCGUAGGUGGCUUAAUAAGUCAGAUGUGAAAUCCCCGGGCUUAACCUGGGAACUGCAUCUGAUACUGUUAGGCUAGAGUAGGUGAGAGGGAGGUAGAAUUUCAGGUGUAGCGGUGAAAUGCGUAGAGAUCUGAAGGAAUACCGAUGGCGAAGGCAGCCUCCUGGCAUCAUACUGACACUGAGGUUCGAAAGCGUGGGUAGCAAACAGGAUUAGAUA